UAGUGCCAUUCUAAGAGAUUAGGAGUUCCCUUCGGGGACACUAAGACAGGUGGUGCAUGGCUGUCGUCAGCUCGUGUCGUGAGAUGUUGGGUUAAGUCCCGCAACGAGCGCAACCCUUGUUAUUAGUUGCCAGCAUUAAGUUGGGCACUCUAAUGAGACUGCCGGUGACAAACCGGAGGAAGGUGGGGAUGACGUCAAGUCAUCAUGCCCCUUAUGACCUGGGCUACACACGUGCUACAAUGGGCAGUACAACGAGAAGCGAGCCUGCGAAGGCAAGCGGAUCUCUUAAAGCUGUUCUCAGUUCGGACUGCAGUCUGCAACUCGACUGCACGAAGCUGGAAUCGCUAGUAAUCGCGGAUCAGCACGCCGCGGUGAAUACGUUCCCGGGCCUUGUACACACCGCCCGUCACACCAUGGAAGUCUGCAAUGCCCGAAGCCGGUGGCCUAACCACUUAUGUGGAAGGAGCCGUCUAAGGCAGGGCAGAUGACUGGGGUGAAGUCGUAACAAGGUAGCCGUAGGAGAACCUGCGGCUGGAUCACCUCC
This 544-nucleotide ribosomal RNA is filed under the name uncultured bacterium. RNAcentral describes it as "bacterial SSU rRNA". It matches the Rfam family "Bacterial small subunit ribosomal RNA", at positions 989 to 1530 of the family's 1533-position model. The record is from RNAcentral.